GAGAGACGUAGGCAUUUGUAUUGAGAUUAGUAGGCAUUAACUUAAAAUGAGAAGUACUGUAAGGGGCAGGAGAGGAAAAAACAAAUGAUCAGAAAACGGAGUACAGGGGAAACUGAGUCCUGGUUAUCCUUAAACCCAGCCAUCUAGGAUACCACUAAGUAAGGUCCAGGAACUGCCUCCUCUCGCCCCUCCUUUCAGGAUUUCUUCCUCCCCUCCCCCACACUAACUGACUUCUCCCUUUCCUCCAUCUGCCACACCCUCUGCUGCCCAGGCCCCGCCCCUUUGCCCCAGACUACCCUGUUGACAAGAAGCUUUUGUCCCUCAGGAGCACUAAGUUCCUGGUGCUGCCUGGGGAAUGGAGGGGGGAUGGGGGGGCGGAGCUCAGCUGGAGGGAGGGCUCCUGGGAUGACAGUCUUUAUUGAGCUUUCUCUGCCUUUGCCCUUGGCCAGUAGAGGAGACAGUAGCUUCCGUCUCUACAGAUUUCCCCAUCCUUUCCACACCCACUGCCCCAUCCAAGGACAGAAGUCCUGUUCCAGAAGAUUUGGGAGACAUGUGUCAGCUUGGUUCUUGGAGCUUUAUAAUUCAAGGAUAGAGAGUUCCAACCUGCAAUUCUGUUUUCUGACUCUGCCAGACCUUCAGUCAGACCCAUGCACACCCUCCGCAAGUGUUUCACACUCCCUCUCCUGUCUCACCUUCACGUGCCCAGGCUUCAGAGUCGCCUAGCACACUGCCCCACUUGUCCCUCCUGAACACUUCUUGUCUCAGCCUGUGGAUAUUGGAAGUAAGUGACUGAGUUCAUUCAAAGCCAAGAAACAGGGCCAGUGGUGCUUUCUGCCAAGCCUGACACCUGAGUUUGAUCCCCAGGACUGAGGUGGGGAGAGAGCCACCUCCUGCAAGCUGUCCUUUGAUCUACCUAUACAUGCAUGCACGCACACACACACACCCAAAAGAAAAACAACAGCAAGCUGGGUAUGGUGGUGUACACCUUUAAUCAGAAGGCAAAGGUGGGUGGAUUUCUGUGAAUUCAAGGCCAGCUAAGUUCCAGGACAUCCAGAGCUACAUAGAGAAUUCUGUUCCAAAACACCAAACCAACCGGGCGGUGGUGGCGCACACCUUUAAUCCCAGCACUUGGGAGACAGAGCCAGGCGGAUCUCUGUGAGUUCGAGGCCAGCCUGGGCUACAGAGCGAGAUCCAGGAAAGGCGCAAAACUACACAGAGAAACCCUGUCUCGAAAAACCAAAACCAAAAACAAAAAACACCAAACCAAACAAAAAACACCACCACCACCACCACCACCACCAAAGAAGUUGAGAGUCAAUGCCCAGGAUGGGGAACGAUGGCGUCCCCGAUCCUCUCCCCAGUACUGUUCCUCCAGUGUCACACAAAACACCAAGCAGUGAAAUUAAAGAAAGUACUGGGUGAGACAGAUUACAGAAGGAUGCAACCUCCUAGGCUCACCGGCUGGCCCUCCUCCACUUCAUCCUGCUUGCAGCCACCAUAGGGUUAACCUUAGAGGCUGAGCAUCAAACAGCAGGAGGAUACUGGGGAGGGGGUCAUAGUCUGUUCCCUGAGCCCUCCUCUGUGACUCCAACUCCCUUUUCUGUCGAGCCUGGGACAAGGGUGUCUAUGGCCAGGGCUUUUGUUAGGAAGAGUCCGGUGCUGAGGGCCAGGCAGACCUAGGCAGCAGAGGGCUGCAAAUGCAGCUGGGAAAACCGAGGGUGCUGGAGACUCAAAGCCUAUACCAGGCGUGUUGGGCCCAAGAGGAGUCCAAGGGUCCUCUUCUAUGAACUUGGGAAUCGAGGGAUACAUUAAGGUCACUUCCGAGGAUGAGCACCACCUCAGAGGCAGGCAGGGGCAGGACUUAAGUGGCUAGGGAUGUCAACAUCAUUUGCCAGUCUUAAGUAGUUCAGAUUUAGGAAAGCCAGGACUCCCCCAACACAAACAAGGUCACACUUUCAAUUUAGGUGGAACAGAAAGAGAUUUCCUCUCCAGCGACAAUCUCCACUCCAGCACUUCAUGGUCCCCAGUGUAUCCUCACAAGACCUCUGAUCCCACUUCCUGUCCUGACACAAGACCCCAGCCCUAGCCCUGGGAGCAAGUCCAUUACGUCCCGAAUCCCUGCUCAGGCCGAGGGGACAGCCUUGUUUCUCUUUUCUGCUCCCCAGCUCUUCCGAUGAAGGGAACUGCCUUGUUUUUCCUUUAUCUUAAGAGGCUGGGGCACUUCCCGAGACCAGUGCUAGGGUCGGGGGUGGGCUUCGGCUGUGAAGCUGAGUGGGCAGGAGGGCAGGUGUCUCCGCAGUGAGGCAGAAGGGGGUUGCUCAGGCAGCUGCAGUUUGCCGCAGUGUGUGAGUGUGUGUGAGUGUGCGCGCUGAGCUCAGCCUCCAGCUCCGCCCCCACCCCCCACCCCAGCAUGACAAGUCAUUUUCUUGGCUGCCUCUGCAUGGGGGGGUGGGGUGGGGAUGGGGGUGCAAACAGAGAGGGAGAAGAAACUGGCUUCUCUAUUGAAGAGCCCCCAUCUUGGGAGGAAAAGCACAGAUGAGGUGAGGGUGGGGCCGAGUCGGGGAACCCCUGAGGUUGACAGGACCCGGAAUGCAGGGCAGCUGCAGAAGAACCAGUGCUCUCGAGCUCCUGAGCGGCCUCAGAGAGGCCACAAAGGGGGGCUUAAAGCCCUAAGCUCAAACUGGCCACAGGGAAUAGGGUGAGGGGAGCCAAAAACAAACCAGUUAGCCUGUGAGCAGGCACAUGCCACGUCUUAGUGACCCAUUCCUCCCUUCUCUUCCAGAGUGUUACCCACCUUCCCUUACUUGGCAAAAACUCAUCCUACUUGCCCUACUCAUCCCAGAACAGGAGCAGCAGCUGACCAGUGUAGUAGCUGAUAACCCAAGGACCCUCCCAGAAGAUACAUUCCAUAACAGCCCCCUUCCUCUCAGAUUCUUCUGUUUCUCCUCAAAGACAUAGCCCCCAAAUUCCUUCUAUGCCCUGACUGCCAGGCAAAGCCUGUGGCACCACCCUCUGUUACUGCCUCUCAGCUGAUGGUCCCCACCCCCACCUCGUACAGAGGUGGACUGUCACAGCCCCUGUUGGAUCCACAGGCUGAACCCCAGUCAGUAAUGUUUGCCUCCUCUCUCCAUCUCAGGAAGCCUUCCCACCAGGCUAGCCUCGGUCCAGAUGCACCAGAUUUACAAGAUGGACCCAGAGAGUGACCUUCAGUCACUGCAAGAACAGGAGACAGAGGCUGGGGGGCUAUGAAUGGAGGGGAGCGGUGUGGCGAUGGAAAUUCUCCACUGUUCUCCAGGGACAUAGGCCACCAUGAACAAAAUGUAUGCUAAAAGUCAGCCUUCCUUUUGGGUGGAUGGCCCCAAGCCUCUUGAGGACAUCAUAGCAAAAUUCUGAAGCGUUCAGUAGGUGUUUCUAUACCGACGCUUGUUUCCAAGAAGUGCCUGAGAAUGCAUCUCUCUGCAAACCACUUCCCAAGCAUUCCCUUCAUCUUAAUCUGAAGAAUAGCUAAGGAUUUUGUCUUAAGUUCCAUUCAUUUCUUACAUUGCUUAAAGUCUUUAUGGCCAAAAGGACAAGGCUAGAGCAUUUGGUGUGAAUUCCUAAUAAAAAAAAAAAAACCCAAACGUCAGUAAUGAGUUUAAUCCCCUGCAAUUCCUUUAUUCAGUCUUGCUUCUAGGAUCUUUGAGUGGUAUAGUCUCUUUGGUCACUGAGAAUAGUGGAGGACGUCAUGACAUGGGUAAUUCUCAACAGAAAGGAAUCUCAAAAGAGUAAGUGGCUAGUCUGACAGGAAGCCAGUCCAUCAGGAAGAUUCCAGCUUCACACUUUUCUUUCAAGUUGCUGCACAUAUUCUGAGUAUAAUGGAGCUUUGCUCAUGUAAGCCUAGUUUUCUCCAGCUUCUCAGCAGCUCAUGAAAAAUGAUCAAUGAGGAAAUGACCAAAGAUCUGCCAGACUGGAGGAGCAGAAAGAGGUGACUUUCUACUGUACUAGGCUGUUGAGAAUUAUUGACAUAUGAAUUCUGUUAUUUGAUGCCAAUGACUAUGAGCCUAAUGGAAUUCACAUUCUAUAAAACUCCAUGGAAGCAGGUCUGGUGAUGCAUACCUACAGUCCUAGCACUCAGGAUGUAGAGACAGGAGGAUAACAGGUUUGAUACCAUCCUAGACUAUAUGUCAAGUCAAGGUCAGCUUGGACUACAUAGUGAGACCCUGUUUUUAAAAAAAGAAAGUUGCAUGGAUUGGUGUGUCAACAUUUACAAUAAUCCAACCAGCUGUCCAACACCUUUAUCAAGGGACGUAAGACAUCCUGUACUCAGUAGACAUCUGUCAUAGAAUGGUAAUUCCUAAAAUCUUAUCUCACACUUCUAGACUAUUUCUCCGACUCAGUAGAAAUGAUCCCAGAACCAAGCCUCAAGAAAUCCAGAGACCUUUGUCCCGGCCUUGAUCUGAUGGUGCUGAUCUGCUCAGCCUUUGAGAGCAGCAUUCUGCUCUGCUCUGCAGAGCUGCCGGCUAAGUGAAGAGGAAACAGAAAUGCGUCCUGAAGGGUGGACUGUGAGAAACAAGGGUCUGGGAUGUUGAGCAAGGCACUCUGGAGUGUGUAUAAGGGGGGACAGGGAGGCUGGGGGAAGCAGAAAGGGGGACACAGAAGAAAAACCUGGGGUUUUGCCUGAAAGUGAUCUGAGCACUUUCUUAGCAGCUCUUUUCACCUGCUGUGUACAAAUAACGCUCUUCUUGGAAAAAUUAUGUUCUGACAUCAUAUCGUGUGUUUGAAGAGUGUACUGGGAAUGUCUGGGUAGCUGUGGAGCCGUUAAAAAAACAAAAACAAAAAACCCUCCCUUCUCCCCGGCUCAAACCUCCCACGAGGCCAGUUCUGCCCUGGAUACUGGACCUCUCCUCUUCCAGCCCACACCCAAAGGACUGAGACAAAUGACCCUAGU
Long non-coding RNA from Peromyscus californicus insignis, 4927 nucleotides. RefSeq lists it as uncharacterized. The transcript is spliced from 3 exons. Lineage: Eukaryota; Metazoa; Chordata; Mammalia; Rodentia; Cricetidae. The record is from RefSeq and is a predicted model, not a curated record.